RNAcentral lists this ribosomal RNA (445 nucleotides) under uncultured bacterium. RNAcentral describes it as "partial 16S ribosomal RNA". It matches the Rfam family "Bacterial small subunit ribosomal RNA", at positions 354 to 796 of the family's 1533-position model. The record is from RNAcentral.
GUGAGGAAUAUUGGACAAUGGGCGCAAGCCUGAUCCAGCCAUGCCGCGUGCAGGAAGACGCAUCUAUGGUGUGUAAACUGCUUUUGUACGGGAAGAAACACUCCCUCGUGAGGGAGCUUGACGGUACCGUAAGAAUAAGGAUCGGCUAACUCCGUGCCAGCAGCCGCGGUAAUACGGAGGAUCCAAGCGUUAUCCGGAAUCGUUGGGUUUAAAGGGUCCGUAGGCGGUUUAAUAAGUCAGUGGUGAAAGCCCAUCGCUCAACGAUGGAACGGCCAUUGAUACUGUUAGACUUGAAUUACAAGGAAGUAACUAGAAUAUGUAGUGUAGCGGUGAAAUGCUUAGAUAUUACAUGGAAUACCAAUUGCGAAGGCAGGUUACUACUUGUGGAUUGACGCUGAUGGACGAAAGCGUGGGGAGCGAACAGGAUUAGAAACCCUGGUAGUCC